RNAcentral lists this ribosomal RNA (497 nucleotides) under uncultured bacterium. Its description in RNAcentral is "partial 16S ribosomal RNA". It matches the Rfam family "Bacterial small subunit ribosomal RNA", at positions 28 to 507 of the family's 1533-position model. The record is from RNAcentral.
GAUGAACGCUGGCGGCGUGCUUAAUACAUGCAAGUCGAGCGAACGGACGAGACGCUUGCUUUUCUGUUGUUAGCGGCGGACGGGUGAGUAACAUGUGGAUAACCUACCUAUCAGACUGGGAUCAUCUCGGGAAACCGGAGCUAAUACCGGAUAAUAUUUUGAACCGCAUGGUUCAAUAGUGAAAGACGGUCUUGCUGUCACUACUCGAUGGAUCCGCGCUGCAUUAGCUAGUUGGGAAGGUAACGGCUUACCAAGGCUAGGAUGCAUAGGCGACCUGCGAGGGUGGUCGGCGACACUGGAGCUUGGACACGGUCCAGACUCCUACGGGAGGCAGCAGAAGGGAAUGUUCCGCAGUAGGCGGAAACCUGGCAGAACAGCGCCACGUGAGUGAUAAAGAUCUUCGGAGCGUAAAACUCGGUUAUUAGGGAAAAACAUAUGUGGAAGUAACUGUACACAGCGUGACGGUACCGAAUCAGAAAGCCACGGCUAACUACGUG